UGGGGAAUAUUGGACAAUGGGCGCAAGCCUGAUCCAGCCAUGCCGCGUGGGUGAUGAAGGCCCUAGGGUUGUAAAGCCCUUUCAGCGGGGAAGAUAAUGACGGUACCCGCAGAAGAAGCCCCGGCUAACUUCGUGCCAGCAGCCGCGGUAAUACGAAGGGGGCUAGCGUUGCUCGGAAUUACUGGGCGUAAAGCGCACGUAGGCGGCUUUCUAAGUCGGGGGUGAAAUCCUGGAGCUCAACUCCAGAACUGCCUUCGAUACUGGAAAGCUCGAGUCCGGGAGAGGUGAGUGGAACUGCGAGUGUAGAGGUGAAAUUCGUAGAUAUUAGGAAGAACACCAGUGGCGAAGGCGGCUCACUGGUCCGGUACUGACGCUGAGGUGCGAAAGCGUGGGGAGCAAACA
Molecule: ribosomal RNA, 402 nt
Filed under: uncultured bacterium
Lineage: Bacteria
Description: bacterial SSU rRNA
Rfam family: Bacterial small subunit ribosomal RNA
Source: RNAcentral